This 468-nucleotide ribosomal RNA is filed under the name uncultured bacterium. RNAcentral's name for it is "partial 16S ribosomal RNA". It matches the Rfam family "Bacterial small subunit ribosomal RNA", at positions 28 to 507 of the family's 1533-position model. The record is from RNAcentral.
GACGAACGCUGGCGGCGUGCUUAACACAUGCCAGUCGAACGGAAAGGCCCUGCUUUUGUGGGGUGCUCGAGUGGCGAACGGGUGAGUAACACGUGAGUAACCUGCCCUUGACUUUGGGAUAACUUCAGGAAACUGGGGCUAAUACCGGAUAGGAGCUCCUGCUGCAUGGUGGGGAUUGGAAAGUUUCGGCGGUUGGGGAUGGACUCGCGGCUUAUCAGCUUGUUGGUGGGGUAGUGGCUUACCAAGGCUUUGACGGGUAGCCGGCCUGAGAGGGUGACCGGCCACAUUGGGACUGAGAUACGGCCCAGACUCCUACGGGAGGCAGCAGUGGGGAAUAUUGCACAAUGGGCGGAAGCCUGAUGCAGCAACGCCGCGUGCGGGAUGACGGCCUUCGGGUUGUAAACCGCUUUCGCCUGUGACGAAGCGUGAGUGACGGUAAUGGGUAAAGAAGCACCGGCUAACUACGUG